This 253-nucleotide ribosomal RNA is filed under the name uncultured bacterium. RNAcentral's name for it is "partial 16S ribosomal RNA". It matches the Rfam family "Bacterial small subunit ribosomal RNA", at positions 524 to 776 of the family's 1533-position model. The record is from RNAcentral.
UACGGAGGGUGCAAGCGUUAUCCGGAUUCACUGGGUUUAAAGGGUCCGUAGGCGGUUUAGUAAGUCAGUGGUGAAAGCCCAUCGCUCAACGGUGGAACGGCCAUUGAUACUGCUGAACUUGAAUUACUGGGAAGUAACUAGAAUAUGUAGUGUAGCGGUGAAAUGCUUAGAUAUUACAUGGAAUACCAAUUGCGAAGGCAGGUUACUACCAGUUUAUUGACGCUGAUGGACGAAAGCGUGGGGAGCGAACAGG